UGUUUCGGCUAGGGGGCCAUCCCGGCUUACCAACCCGAUGCAAACUGCGAAUACCGGAGAAUGUUAUCACGGGAGACACACGGCGGGUGCUAACGUCCGUCGUGAAGAGGGAAACAACCCAGACCGCCAGCUAAGGUCCCAAAGUCAUGGUUAAGUGGGAAACGAUGUGGGAAGGCCCAGACAGCCAGGAUGUUGGCUUAGAAGCAGCCAUCAUUUAAAGAAAGCGUAAUAGCUCACUGGUCGAGUCGGCCUGCGCGGAAGAUGUAACGGGGCUAAACCAUGCACCGAAGCUGCGGCAGCGAACGUAUCACUUAAAGCGAUUCAGCGGGUUACGAUUGACGGAGCGAAGCGACGUCAAAGCGUAUACAAAGUCGAGUCGGUUUAAGGAUACGUUCGUUGGGUAGGGGAGCGUUCUGUAAGCCUGUGAAGGUGUGUCGUGAGGCAUGCUGGAGGUAUCAG
This 459-nucleotide ribosomal RNA is filed under the name Salmonella enterica subsp. enterica serovar Corvallis. RNAcentral's name for it is "partial 23S ribosomal RNA". It matches the Rfam family "Bacterial large subunit ribosomal RNA", at positions 911 to 1285 of the family's 2925-position model. Lineage: Bacteria; Pseudomonadati; Pseudomonadota; Gammaproteobacteria; Enterobacterales; Enterobacteriaceae. The record is from RNAcentral.